GAUUCAUAGUUGCUAAAGCUAGAGGGAGAUAUUCGAUAGCCUGGUAGGAGUAGUCCCACCUGUUGAAGCAUUUCAUGUCUUUGUUGUUGUUCUUACCGCAUAAAUAACAGGUACUGAUUGAGUCUUUCUCGAUUGACUUUGCAACAUUCCCAUUCUAGAUAGUGGUUCCUUGUCUAGCAGGUUUAAAAUCUCUUCCCCUGGAGUUGAAGUUCCCUCUCUUUUGAUUGUAAUUCCACCGACUUCUACCACUUUGUGUAGUAAAGGCCAUUUUAUGAUUGUGCUGAGUUAAGUCUUCCUCUUUAUCCCUCAUGUCAAUUAUUAGAGAGAGUUAACAAAUUGAUUUAGGGAAGGAUAAGAUGUUUUCCCUAUAUCAAAGUUUUGAAAGUUCUGUAUUUUGGACCUAAUCCUCUUGCAAAGUUAAUCACAUUAUGGCUUCAAGACCAUAACAAUUUUCCAAAAAUUAUUUCUGAUACUCAUCAAGUUUCUUAGUUCCUAACUUAAUGUUUUGUGAUUAUUGCUUAAGUUGGAACUCUUUGUCCUUUGUUGCUUGUGGGUAUGUUUUUUGAAACAUUCCAACAUUUUCUUUUUUGUGGAACAUCUACGACAAGGUAUAUGCUUUCUUCAGCCAUGGUUCCUGAGAUUUAAGUCCUCAAUAAGACAUCCUUCUCUUCUCAAUCAUCCUCCUCACUUAAUUAUUCUAUUUCCUUUUAUGUAGAAGAUUCACUCUUCUCUGCGGUAGAUGUUGUUUCUUUGUCUAGUCUGUUAUCCUCAACCAACACAGUCACUUUCAUGACUUACAUGAGUUGCAUAACUUGGAUCCUCUAUAUAAGGUAGUUCGUGUGCUUAAGUAUGUUAGGACAAGUAAUAGUAAGGUGGUGAGAGAAGUUGCUAGAAGUAUUGAGGGGGUAUAGGAAGAAGUAGUAUUUUUUUGCCAUUGAUUUUGGACAAGUGAAUUGAAUAGAGUAAUAUACAGCAUACGACUAAGGUUUCUCUAAUACCAUAAGAAAUACAUAGUACAGAAGUUGAGAGAAAAAUGGAGAAACUUGAUAUAUUAUUGAUUUGUUCAUACAUGGAUUUAUACAUAAUAUUGUAGGAUAAUUAGAGUUAAGAGUUUUAGGUUAUGUACACUUGUAGUACUACACAUCUUGUACACUUACACAUAGACUCUAACUCUAAUUGACUUGAUCAUUAUCUAACUACACAUUCAUCACAUGGUCAUUAGCUACUACACUAAUCAUUAUCUUCAAAAAUAAUAACUAUUAGGAUUCAAUAAGUAAGAGUAAUGAUGGAUGAAACUUGAUGUGAAGGGUGAUGUAUGAUCAGUGAGAAUAAAAAUUAAAAUACUCUAAGGUAAAGCGAGAGGUGGGGGUAACAUAAGUGGAUGAAAGUGAUAUGAAAUAAAUUAUUAUAUAAGUUGUCAUGCUUUUUUGUGAUUUUUAUAUUGCAUUUAUGUUACCUAACCCUGGUCGACCGAUGAUACCUAUCAGUACAUAUUAUUUAUACAGAUACUAGUUUUUCUAUACUCUCUUUGGGGUAUGGUCUAGUCUCAGGAUCAGUAGAUGUUUUAGGUUUGACGUGGAUAAUGAUCUCCACCAGCUUCUUCUCUUCUUAUUCCUAUAUUGGAAGUUUUUGUCUUAUUUUUUCUUUUAUUAUACUAGAAUCUCUUGUACCUGUUUAGACUAGGUCCUUGGGGAAUGUUUUCAUUUUGUAAUCAAAGUUUUGGUAAUUGAUUGAAAUAAAUAAAUACAUUUUAUUAUUUCUUAUUGACUUUCACAUGUAUUUGAAAUGUUUAUUAAGGCUUCUCCUAUAUAGGUGGAUUAGAAUAGGUGGCUACAUAAUUCAAUAAUUUGGGUCAUAACAAUCACUCACAAAAACUGUUGGCACAAGCAAGGUAUGGCAUAGUUGUAUUUCUUUCAAAAUCUCUUUCAUGUCAUGGAGACUUUUUCUAGGAAAGAUCUCUAUUGUUAUAAAUAUUGUAGUGAAUUUAACCUCUACCUAUUAAUAUUUCUCUAAUCAUCUUUAUGGGACUAUGAAUCAUAUGUUUGUGAAAGGGGAAGCAGGAAAAAGGGUCUGGAGAUAUAUUUCCAACUCUUUCGGGGUGAUUCUCACACCAAGCCCAAUUAGAAUGUUACACCAAACAUAGUGGAACACCAAGGUAUGAGGAAGAUAUCGCCUAAAUUUAACAUUGAUAUACCUUGGUGCAUUUCUAUAAGCUGAUAAAGAAACCAAGACAAAAUAUUAUAUGAAAAAGUAAGCUAGGAAAACCUAUGUCUAAUUGGGUGAAACUUAACAUUGAUGGGAGCUACUUACAUAACUCUGAGAAGGCAGGAAUAGAAAGUGUCCUAUUUUUGAAGAAGGUGAUAUCAUUCUGGAUUUUUUUUUCUUAGUGAAAUUCAAUAGUAAUAAUAUGGCUGAGACAGUUGCAGUCAACUUGGGGUGGAUAUGUGCAGCAGAGUUGGAUACGCUUAGCUCGGUCUGGAUCUAGACUAUCAAACUGUUAGUAAGAUACUUCAAAAUAAGUACAAUAAUAACCUCAUAUUUAAGAGGAGAAUAGACAUUAUUUUGAACAAUUUGAGCUUGAUGAAUGUUACUAUCUAGCACAGCUAUAGACAGCUAAAUCAGGUGGUAUACGACUUGGUUAAGCUAGCUUGAAGUCAAGACAUUAGGCUACAUUUUGACUCCUUUCUUGUUUUACCCAAUGUGUCAAAGGAACUUACCAAUUGGAUAUAAGUUUCCACUCUCUAGUUUAAAAUACAAUAUGAUAAAGCUAUUUUUUUUGUUAGUUAAACUUGUGUAGACUUAGGAACUUCUUCGAUAAAUACUAUUCUUUUCUGGUUUAUGUUAACUAGAUUGGUUUAUCAGUCAAGCAUUGUAUUCUGAGGUUUGGUAGAGUCUCCCUCUUUGUAACUUUUUAUAUGAAUAUAACACACUACCUCUGUAGCACCUUGGAAAAAAUUGAAUUAAUUUAACAAUUUAGACAAGUGCAACUUUUGUUCUAUGAAAGAUUAUUCAGUGAUGCAUAUCCUUGAUAGGGAAUUGUACCUUGUGUGACAGUGUAUUGUCGCAAAAGAUGACAAGGAAACUAAAUUAUACUCCCUUAUUUACACUAAGUGCUAAUACCAGAAAGUAAAGGGGUCUACUGUAUAUAUUUUCAUUUAACAAAAAUAUUAGUAAUAAUAAUAUACUUCCUUCGUUUAAAAAAGAAUGAUCUACUUUCCUUUUUAGUCCCUUUAAAAAAGAAUGAUCUCUUUUCCUUUUUAGCAAUACUUUAAUUUCAACUUUUCACAUGGCAUAUUUAGGACCACAAGAUUAAAGAGCAUUUUGGUACAUUUGACACAGCUUUAAUUUAAGACCACAAGAUUAAAAAAUCUUCUUUAUUUUCUUAAACUUUGUGCCAAGUCAAAGUAGGUCAUUCUUCAGUAAAGUGGUUCAAGAAUCAACCUACGUACUUCUUUGUUUCUUUAUUCCUUUGUUUCUUUACUUUGCACCAAGGAAAGAAACAAUUUGAAGAAUCAAUUAGGAAUUAUAAAACUAGGAAGGAAUUCCAUGGAGGAGAGGUAUAUCACUAUGAUCUUAAUCUAGUCUUCAUCCAAUAAUUUCUUAAACUCUAUCAAGAAUUCAAGUUGGGAUUAAUUUUGCAAAAGGUAAUUUUUCCACUCUGUACAUGAAUUUGAUUAUAGAUUAUAUGUUGGAGUGUAAUAUUAGUCAUUAAUUAUUGUUUAAUUUAAUCUUUCCACCACUCUUUGAAAGGGAUUCUUGAGAAAGAGAAAAAUGGGAAAUUGUCACGACCCAACUUCUCAGGUCAUGAUGGUGCCUACCAUAACCUACCAAUAAGCAAGACAACUCAUAGUCCAGAACGACUAGUAAUGGACUACUCAAUAAUAUAAGGAAAUGAAUGGGGAAUAUAUGAAAUAAAGAUCAAUAUAUAGAAGAAUCUCAAAACCUAGUGGUAUCAGUACAAGAGCUGCUAAUAUAAAAAGAGUACAAAAGUGAAAUAUCAAAAGAAAUACAAUGAUACAACGUAUCUUUGAAUACAACUUAGAGACUAGUCUAAUACAUAAAAGAGAGAAAUAAGUAAUGCUCCAGAUAUCAGGAUCUCACUCUAAGUCUCUGAACAAGGACUGCUCUGCAUGAUGCACACAUCAAUGACGAUUACCCAUACUAUAAUCUGUAGGCUGUAGAAGUGUAGUAUGAGUACCAAAUGAAUGGUACUCAAUAGGCUACUGCUAAUUGAGAUCCAAAGAGAAAGUAGAUAUAUACAACAUAUAAACAGAAUAAAAAUUACACCUAAGAGUCCACAAAUCAUAUAACAAGUCAAUGAGAAAAGAAGGAACAAAUAUCCUAUUGAUGUCCAAAAGUCUAACAUGAUAAAACUAAGAAAGUAUCAGGGUGAACUAUCCUAUUCUAGCUGCAUUCAUUAUACAUCAAUGUUAUACUUUAUAUCCCAGGUCAAUAUAUGAAUAAAGAGCGAAUAUAUAUAUAUAUAUAUAUAUAUAUAUAGUAAUAUACAAAGCGAAGAAAUGACUAUACAACAUGAACAACGAAGGAAGGUAUAUAUACAUAUAAACAUGAGGUUAUCACAAACAAUAACCUAUAUCAUCAUAUUCUUAUUUUGAGACCUCAUUAUAAUAGAAUCAGGAUUUAAAUACUAUCAUACUCAGGGUUUCUAAUCCAAGUGGAUAGACAUGAAAUAAUCGUGCAUAGUAAUGCAAUCAUAAAAUAGGAGAGGCCGAAGACAUACCUCAAAUAUCGAUACAAGAUCAAAGACAAAUCUAUCAUAAGCUAGCCAUAAUAAUGAUCAUAACAAUGAUAACAACAAUAUCAAUAACAGCGUGAAUAACUAAUUACUCUAGACAACCAAAUACCUAGUCGAGCCUAUACAUACCCCACCUCCCCGAGCUCAAAAGGUCUAAUCAACAUAUAACAAUAUAAGGCAUAUUCUUCACUCAUAUCUAUGCAACCAUCCCAUACUGACUGAUAGACAUAGAUGCAUACUAGUGAUAGGCAAUGUGCAUAGAGGAAUAAAUGCAAAGUACAUAAUCAAUAUCACAAAUCAUCAUAACUAUCCUAAUUAGGACCAUCAUAAUUGUAAUCAACCUACGGCCUUGCCGGGUAUUAACAUAUCAUCAAUAUAUCCUCCGAUCUUGUCAACUAUCAAUAUCAUCAUAAUAGUAUUCUCCAGUCUUGCCGGGUAUCAAUAUCAUCGUAAUAGUAUCCUCUAGCCUUUCUGGGUAUUAAUAUCAUCACAAUUACCAUUACCGAAUAAGAUACACUAAAAUACUCAUAAGCAUACACAUAUCUCCAUAGAAUAUCUAUCUAGUCAAUACUUCCCAACUAUUCAUUAUUAGUUAACCAACACUUAUUAUAAUAGAAUCACUAGUUCACUAGUUAUCACAUAACCUCUAGUUAUUAGCCUAAAUGUUAUUCUUCACAUAAUCCUUACUCACGGGAUAGCAACUAACCACUAUUUAUUAAUUAGCCAAUAUCUAUCAUCUAGUCAAGGUUCAUUACAAAACCAAAACCGUCAUUUAUUCACUAUUCAUUAUUAUCAACUAAUCAUCUGAUAUCUGUUAAUAAUUACUAGACAACACCUUACUACUUGUAACCUGAUGAUCUUUCAUUAACUGACACCAUUCAUUAACUAACCAGAUUUCAACUAAGCAAUAUUCAUUAACUAAUACGUUAGAUUCCUAGCAAUCAAGUGCUAUAGUCCCCAAAUAGACAACUAGUUACCAUAUAGCUUUGUCGUCUAGCAAGAAGAGUAAUCAUAAGAUCACAUUUAAGCUAUAAUCACAUUAUUUAAAUGGUAUAUAAUCAUGAACAUACCAAAUCUAUGCAUGCCAUCAUCAGUAUUUAAUCAGUGGAAUAGUAAGCAUCAUACUACAUCUUCCUCUGUCCUAUACCAGAGAGAUGUGUAUGCAAACAGAUACAUGUUCAUAUUCAUAAAUUGUCAUCACAUCAUUAUAAUGAUAAAUAGUUCUCGACUAAUGAAUCAAUAUCAUAAAACUUUCCUUGGCUCAUUAAUUUAUUCAAAAUAAUCACAACAUCAUAAUCACGGCCUUAGGCCCAUACACAUAUCCUGUACUCAUAUCAAUAAUCAUAUUUAUAAGCCAUAGAAUAUCUCUAAUUAUCUCACAUGUAGGAGGCAUCUCACAUAUAGGAGGCAUAAUAUCAAUAAGCAUGUAAUCAUCUCUCACUCAAGAGGCCUCUUAUAUCUAGAAGGCAUAAUAUAGAUAGACAUGUGAUCAUCUCUCACAUAAGAGGCAUCUCACAUCUAGAAGGAAUAAUAUAUAUAUAAACAUGUAAUCAUCUAUAGGAUAUUUUAUAUCAAUAGGUCAUACAUCAUGACUGUGAGAAAUAUCACUUCUCUAGGCCAAUUUACAUAUCCAAGAGGAACAUCGUCUCUAUAGGUCAAACAAUCAUGACUAAAGGAAAUAGUAACUCUAUAGGCCAAUUAUCAAGUCUAAGAGAAAUAAGCAUCUCUAUAGGACAAUUAUAAAGUCUAAGAGAAAAUAGCAUCUCUAUAGGUCAAUCAUCAAGUCUAAGGGGAAAUAGCAUCUCCAUAGGUCACAUAAUGUAUCUAGGAGGAAUAUCAUCUCUAAAUGCCCAAUAUCACUUCCAUAAGGAGUAUCAUAAAUGUAACUCAAUAGUCACAAUCCAGGAACAUCAUUACAAGUUACCAAGUUAUGAAGUAACCUUAUUCUAAAGUUUACUAGCCUUAUCUAUGUCUAACAUCCUCACUAAGUCCACAAGACUUAACAUAAGCUUAGGCCUAAGUAGGCUGAACGAUCUCAUUUUUAAUCCACAAUUUUCAUAAUUAGGUAUACUGUGACACAAACUAGGAUAAGGCAUCUAGUUAAUCUUCUAGAUGUCAAGUAAGCCAUAUUCAAGCCUAAGAUAGCAACUUCAACUUGAAACAAGGGUAUUCAAGUCAACUCUACCCAACUUAUAGUUUUAAGACUACCACACUAGCCCAAUAAGGCUAAAUAUACAAAUCAUUCUUCAAAUGCUAAAACCAUAUUCCAAACAUAGCAUUGUAUCAUAUCCAUGCUAUAACUAAUCUAAACUAAAGAGGAAAGGCAAAUCACGAGUGGCUAAUUCCAUUAGCUGGAGUUAUGGGAUCCAUGGAUUAGGGUUUGAUAGGUUACUAGGUAUUUAACGGAUUCAAAGAGUAGUAGGACAUCUUGAAAUUCUAUUAUUUUGACUGAAAUCUAUUGGUCGCAAACAUUAUAUCAUACCUUAGGUUUUAUUUGCUUCUAACAGAGAAAUAGACUAGAGGACGUGAAUUAUCAACAGGGACUCAGAAGCUACCAACCUUCUGUUUAAUGAUUGAUGUUGCAACUAGAUUAAUCUACCUGAGAUAACAUCCUAUUGAAAAUAGAUAAGUUAUCUAAGUUCGAGAGAAUUAGAUAAUAAAUUGGCUGGUGAGGUUGAGAGAUAAGUCAGAUAGUAUCAUAUUCUGGGAUAUUCUGUUGUUUUUACUUACUCUAAGAAUCCCAACCAUUACCUAGUAUCUGUUAACUCCCAAUACCCAUGGUGAACAUAACUCUAGUUUCCCAUUUAUCUUGAUUAUAACUACUGAAGUAUUGAAAGUGAUAUUUGACUCUCUGUGAAACUUAAACCCCUAUCUUUCGAAAAUAGUAAACUACCAGUAAAGUAUUUCAUAAACAAGUUGAAGUUCAUACCUUAUUCCCUGUGGGAUUCGACCCCAACCUAGUUGGGUUUUAUAUUGACAACGAUCGCUUACACCCAUUCAAGAGUGUAAUUUAAGUGUUAUCAAUAUCAGACAUUAUCUAUGAAGAAAAGUAGAUAGAAGCCUACCUUAAGGCCCAACCGCCAAAUCUCACUUCAUACACCAUAUGCUUGUCUUUACUUUACAAUCCUCAAAAUGCCAUCACACUAUCAAAACCAUAAUCUACUCAUCAAUAUGAGUCUAAUGAUACCCAUAUUGCACUAUUAAUCUUCGGGUCAAAAAAUGAUACCAAAAUGCCAAGUGGGUCCCACAUAUGAAAAAUGAGUUUUGAGACCAAUCCAAUGUUCACACAUAAAUAAGGAAUCAUAACCCUCAAAGAAUGGGUGAAAACUAAGCAUACUUUGGGCUAAAAUCAAGCCUUAAACUAAAUUGGGUUUUGGGUAUAAACUAAGAAAUUCAAACAUAAAUUCAAGAAAUUCUUACCUUAAUCUGGAAGAUAAUCAUGAUAGAAGAUGAUAAUUAAGCUCCCAAGUCACCCUCCAUGACCAAUUUUGAGUUAUUACACUCAUUUUGGGGUUUCUAGGUCUAAAUGCUAAAGGAGAAAUGCCCCAAACAUGUCUUGGGGCCUUUACAUAGCCCCUACAAGUACUCAUAUGUUGCAAUCGUAGUCCUACAUGCCGCGAUCAUGCUACUCACGAUCGCACACUCUUGGCCGUGAUCGUGGUUACACCAGAUGACAAUAAACUCAAAAAUAAGAUUUUGACCCUCAGAACUUAUCUAAAAUCCAAAAAACAUGAUCCAAUAGUGAAUUUUAAGUGUAAACCACAUUUCAAAUCCAUUGAAAUCAUCAAAAAUUUCAUCGGAAAUUGAUUAGGUAAAAAGUGGGCCCACACCAUAGUUUUAUCACUUUUUAAAAAAUCCACUCAAUAGCCCAAAAUAAGUCCAGGAGCCUUGGGACCUAAACCAAGGGUCUCUCUAGACUAAAAUCAAUGUUUUGGAUAUGAUAGAAAAGUUGGAUUUACAAUAUGAGGUCAUUUUGACUAAAUAUGGAUCCCACACCCAUUCUUUCUAAUUUUCAACAUUUCGACCAAUAGAUCGAAAUGAGCUAGGGUGCAUUGAGACCCAAACCAAAGGUAUACCUAGAAUAAACUCAAUAUUAUGGAUCUAUUGGCGUAGUCGUAAUUUGCAUAUAAGAUGAUUUCACUAAAGUUUUUGCCCGAUGACCAUUUGGAACCAGCGAAGACUUCAAAAUAAGGAAUUGGCCCUAAAAAAUAAAUGAAUUGUCUGGUAACUGAACGUUGGUCCUAGAAAGUCAUAAAUAACUUGCGGAAGUAAUGGAGAAGCUCAAACGGUGAAGAUAAGUAAAAAUAUCGAAAAUGACCUGAAGGAUCAUUACAGAAAUUUUGACCAAAGAGGAGAUUUUUGGGAUUUCUAUCAAUUGGAUGGAUUUUCCCUUAAAUUGUAUAAGUUGGAAAAGUUAGAAUUCAUUGCAAAUUCUUGUUAAGAAAAUUGAUUGGUUUUGGGCAUAAUCAAAGAUUAUUGGAAUAAAUUGUUAAAUAUACAUACUGGUCAUUGAUAAACAUAUAUGUUUUAAUUAAUUGGCUAGCGGAUAAGUGGAAGUAGUGGUUGGGGGGAUAAGGAUACACUUUCGCGGGUUAAGUUGUUCGAGUCAGAAAGCUAUCAUAGCUAGUUAAUCACUAACGUAUUUAAAGAUAAACCUUCCCUUGCCGCAAGGGCACCACCCUACGUUAUGUACUACUUCUUAUUAAUGUUAACAUAAUUCUCAUGAAAUACAAGAUUAGAAUCUUUAUAUAGCCUUACAUAUCAUUCCCUCGUUGUACAUUUAGGCUUAUAAGUAUCUAUAUUUCCCCUCUUUCUAUUAAGUUUCCAUGAUACUUUCAUAUUAUCAUAAGUUUCUAUGCUUAAAUCCCUUAGGCUACAAUGUAUAUAUAUAUCACUCGUUAAGAGUAAAAGUAAAUAGUAAUAGCAUAGCUACACUUGUAUAUGUUAGCUAAAUAAUUAUUAUCUAAUUCACAUGUUAUAGGCCUUCAAGGCAUUAUUUUAUAAACAUUAAUGACGAGAGGGUACAUAGGUUUGGCUUGGAAUAUCUCUCGACGUGGUUCUAUUUACAGGAUCGAGACCAGACCAUUAUAGUGACCCAACCAUUAGGCAUAUCAUGCACUACUUUUGCUUGACUCGAGCCAAUUUAUGGCAUAUAUGGCCUGCAGGUAGACCCUCAUAGUAAGCCCUUGGGUAAGGCAUACCUGGUUAUAUACCAUGAUUAUAGUUAUACAUAAGGGAUUAUAGUUAUGAGUAUAUGAGCAACAUAUGCUUUAUACUUGCCUCAGAUUGCCUUCGGUAGGCCAUCUUAUGAUUAUUUGUAUUACUGAUAGGAUAAAUAUAUCACUAUGCAAAUUAUAGGCCUUAUAUUAUAAUGAACACCCUUCUAAAUAUUAUAUAAGAUACUACUAAGAUUUGUGCAUAGGUUACCAGUUCAUAUCGUAUAUGUAUUACGUGUAAGCUCAUAUCUUUUUUGCAUUGAUAUUUGACUCAUAUGAGCUUUUCUACUUGUCCAUCUAAUAUUUUGUAUUCUUUCAUACCAGUACAUAUUGUUUAUGUACUGACCUUUUGGGGGAACCAUGUUUAAUUGAUACAAGCUCAGUUCCUCAGGAUAGUAGACAUCCACGUUAGGCCCUAUUACCAUUUUCAGCUGAUAUUUUGGUGAGUUACUUCUCUCUCUAGAGCUAGUCUGUGUCUAGUAUUUUUUAUUAUAUGUACAAAUAUCUAGUUGGGCAUGAUAGGCUCUAUGCCAACUAGUCACUUGCAGUAUAGCAUGUUAAACUGACUAGAGGCUUCAUGGACAUCUUGUUGUAUUGUAUUGUAUAGUUUUUUCAAUAUAACUCCCUCAUGUAUAUAUAUAUAGCUUAUACUGGGUAUCUUGCUCAUUAUUAUCCCAUAAUCUUGCAUAUGUCACCUAGUGCAGCUAAAGUAAGUGUAUAUGGUUUUUUCCCGUCGUUUUCAUUUUGAGGCAUGACAAACUUGGUAUCAUAGCCUAGGUUCAGUUGUCCUAGGGAGUCUAUGAAGCCAUGUUUAGUAGGACCUUACUUAUCGAUGUGUUGUAUGCCACAUUUAUAAUUAAGGGAUUACAUGGACAUUUAGGAAUUUGACCUUUAUUUAUAAUCUAAAUCGUGUAACAGAGCUAAGUCAUAGGAAGUUACUUUUGAGUCCUAUUCUUUUUAUUUGUGAUACAGAUAAUGUCUUCUAUAGAAAGGGAUAAAGUUUCCCAGCAGGACACUAUUGGAACUACUCAGGAGGAAAUCACUACUGGGAAAUAUCCCGUAUUGGUGGACCUAAAUAGGACUCAAGAAAGUUUGUUGGGUUCUGUACUUUUAGGUUCUCAAAUGCCCAGAACAGACAGACAUAAAGGGCUUUUGCAUCUCCAGUGGUACCAACAGCAGUUCCUAUCUUGCCACCAAAUGCCUUACACCAGGAUUUUAGAAGAACAAUACAGUUAUUCAUAUAGUUGAUAGCCGCUCAUGCCCAAAGAAAGAAUGUGGACGUACUUGUUGCUACUCGGGGAGUGGUAGCCAAAUCUAAGAUCAAAUACUUCCUCCAUAUAAAUCCACCAGAAAUCACAGGUUCUAAGCUUGCAGAGGACCCUCAAUAAUUCAUUGAUAAGACUCUUAGAAUUUGUAAGGUGAUACAGGGUAUUGGAUGCAGAUACAGUUGAAUUAGCUGCCUAUUGACCGAAAGAUGUUGUCAUUGAUUUGUAUGAUAUAUAGGUUUCCUCAAGAGGUCAGGAAGCUCCUUCAGUGGUCUGGACAGACUUUGCAAAAGCCUUCAUAGAUCAUUUCAUGCCAUUAGAGCUCAGAGAGGCAAGGGUGGAUGAAUUUCUAUCUUUAAAGUAGGGUAAUAUUAGUGUCAAGGAGUACUUUUUAUGGUUCACAUAAUUGUAUAGAUUUUCUUCAGAGGUGGUUAGCACAUAAACAUCACGGAUUUUUCACUUUAUGAAUGGCCCUGUGGGUCCCUUUAAAGACAUUUUUUUUUAUUGUUGCUAUGAAUAACGAUUUGGAUAUAGCAAGGAUCAUGGUGCAUAAUUUAUAAUUAAAGGAGGAUCAUCAUAAUUGUGAUGUAGAUAGCGAGAGGGAUCAGAGUAAGAGAGCAAGAACGGCCAACCAGUAUAAGGAAAAUAGUGGAGCUUCCACUAGUAGAGGUCCAUAUAGGUAGACCCAGUUAGCUAUGCACUCCAUAUCACUGAUCUAGCUCGAUCUUUGAAGUAUAGGUAUAAGCAGGGUCAUACUUCUAGAGCACCAGACUUACGGCCUUAAAGGAGCAUCAGUCGAGGAUUACUACCUCGACCUAUAUGUAGGCAGUAUGGCCGAGCACAUGGAAAAGAGUGUUGGCAUGGUUCAAAUAUGUGUUAUUGGUGUGGUAUAGAGGGCUAUAUGGUAUGUGAUUGUCCACAACUCAGAGAUAAAGGUAGAGGUGAUCGAUCACAACUUACCUAGUCUGUAUCAGCUACAUCAUUAGUGUCUUUUUUUUUGUUGUCCUCAAGCACCAACAUGUAGACCAAACCAUAUGUAUGCACUAGCUAGUCGGAAAGAUUUAGAGGCAUCUCUAAAUAUGGUGACUUUUCAAAUUAUGUAUAUGCCUUGAUAGAUCCAAGAUCUACCCUGUCAAGAAGUAUAGAAUAGAGUCGGAGUUAUUAUGUAAACCAUUUGCAGUAUCAACUCUAGUAAGAGAUUCUAUUAUUACUAGGUGGGUUUAUUAUGAUUGUGUGGUGAUAGUAUGUGUUGCUACAUUGCCUAAUAUGAUUGAACUUGAAAUGGUCAACUUUGAUGUUAUUAUGGGUAUGGAUUGGCUAUCCUUCUGUUAUGCUAUAACUGAUUGUCGAGCAAAGAUAGCCCAUUUCCACUUCCCAUGAGAGCCAAUAUUAGAGUGGAGAGGUGAUUCUAUGAUACCUAGAGGGAGGUUUAUUUCCUUUCUUAAGGCGCAAAAGCUUAUUUCAAAAGGGUGUUUGUAUCACCUACUCCAAGUAAAAGAUGUUGAGGCUGAAGAACAGGCACCGACUCUCCAAUAUGUACCUGUGGUGAACGAGAACUUAGAUGUUUUUCCUGAUGAACUCCCUAGAUUACAUCAUGUUAGAGAGAUCAAUUUUGGUAUUUAUGUGGAUCCCGGUACGUAACCAAUAUCAAUUCCACCUUAUAUAAUGGCACCUGUAGAACUAAAGAAAUUAAAAGAGCAGUUAAAAUACUUGCUGGAUAAAGGUUUUAUUCAACCCAGUAUAUCACCUUGGGGUGCACCAGUGUUUUUGUACAUAAGAAAGACGAUAUGUUGCAAAUGUGUAUAGAUUACAAGUACCUGAACAAUGUGACAAUAAAGAAUAAGUACACUCUACCCUAAAUAAAUAAUUUAUUUGAUCAAUUAUAGGGAGCUAAAUGCUUUUCAAAGAUCGAUUUGAGGUUCGGUUACCACCAGUUAAGGAUUCAUGAAGUGGAUAUCCCCAAGACAGUCUUUCAAAUAAGAUAUGGGCACUUUGAGUUACCUGUCAUGUCGUUUGACUAACAAAUGCUCCAACAGCCUUCACAAAUAUGAUGAAUAGAAUUUUUAAACCCUUUCUUGAUAUGUACAUGAUUGUAUUUAUAGAUGAUAUUUUGAUAUAUUCUAAAAAUAAAGUUGAGCAUGCAGAUCUACUAUAUAUUGUUUUGAUAAUGAGCAAUUGACAACAAAGGACCAGAUCCCUAGAUCUUCAAGUCUAUACUACAACUGGCACGCGCUUACAUAGUUUUGUCAUCUAGUGUAACAAACUAUCCAGGUACUGCUUGUACUAUUUAGGAUACAUUGUCUAAUUGCAUUUUAACCAUAAUCAUUACUCUACUAUAAAAGUAAAAGAAUCCUUCUCAAUUGGUAGUUUUUGCAGUUUCAUAAGAGUGAAGAGAGAAAAACGCAAAAACUUAAUUUUAGCUUAAGUUCUUAGUCCUUGUGUACUGAUAGUGAAUAUGUUUUUGAAUUUAAUCAUGGUUUGUAAUUGAAUUACUGAUUCUAUAAGAGUAAUGUAUUUCUUUGCUUUGAGAGUGCUUAGGUAGAGUUACCUAAGCUUGAUACUGGUUAGAUUUAAUCAGUGUUGAGAAAGUCUUGGCAGAGUUGUCAAGUUAGGCUUGUAGUAGAGUUAUUACAAGCAGGAGGAACCUAGAGUUAGGUUCAAAAUCAAUUCAACAAUCAAGAGGUUGAUUAUAGUAGAUUUGUGAGAGCUUGUGAGGGAAAGCCAUGUUUUUCCCUUCUUGAGUAAGGGUGUUUCCACGUUACAUCGGUAUGUUCCUUUAUUUUCAACAAUACCUUCCUUAGUGCCUUACUGAUUUAUUUCCUUUGACUGACGUUGAGGGAUCAGGUCCCUCAGGUGGGGUACAAACCCUAAGGUUUCAACAAUUGGUAUCAGAGUAAGUUCACUCUAAAAGGUUCACACUUAGAGUGUUUUGGUUAUUAUGGUUGUUAUCACUGAACAAGGGGUGGGGAGGAAGGAAGCAAAAAGGGAUAUAUCCCUGACAUUGAAGACUUUAGAGUCUGACUCAAGUGAGGAAGACACUGAUAUUGCCCUUCUGGCAACAAGGAUUAUUAAAGCAAUGAAGAAAAGUAGUCAGCUUAGCAAAAGGGAUAGCAAAAUUAAAGGUUGUCAAAAAGGUGGUAGUUCUGAAGAUAUCAUUAUGGAAUGCCCAAUGUGCAAGAUGGAUUAUCAAAAACUACUUAAAAUAAAGGUGAAAAUGAUAAAAAGAAGGAUCAGAAUCCUGAAAAGUCAAGAAGAAAGGAUGUAGCUAGCUAUAUAGUGAACCAGGUCUUGCCUGAAUGGGAAGACUCCUCCAGUAAAUCUGAGAAAGAUAAAGAGUAUGGAGAUGGUUUCAUGCUGAAAAUGAAUGAUAUGAAAAUCACCUCUGGUUCCUUGUUUUCCUUUAUGGAAACUACUGAAUAUAAAGAAGAAAAUGGGGUAGAAAAAAAGAUUGCAACCAAAACAGUUUAUAGACAGUAGUUGUUCAAGGCACAUGACUUUAAGGACUGGUUGUUUUCUCUCCCUCAAGACACUUUAAGGGGAAAGUGUGUAUUUUGGAAAUGCUAAAAAAAGGUAUAUCCAAGGUGUUGGAAAGAUUGGAAAAUCACCUCAUCAUGCAAUAGAAGAUAUGUAUUAUGUGAAUGCCCUUAAGUACAGCCUUCUAAAUGUAUCUCAAAUCUAUGAUAAAGGAAAUGAGGUAAAAUUCUCAUCUGAUGGAUGUACUAUGUCAAGCAUGAAAUCUGGAAGAAUUAUUCUCAAACCCAAAAGGGUCAAAAAUAUGUAUGUAGCUGAUUUGGAGUUUGUGACUGAUGGGGAAUUAACUUGCUAAAGUGUUCAAAGUGAAGAUGUUGACUUAUGGCACAGAAGGCUGGGACAUGUAAGUUCCUCCUUGAUAAAUAUGUUGAUUUCAAAGGACCUGAUCUAUGGCAUGCCAAAUCUAAACUUUCUAGACAACAAAGUUUAUAAUGCUUGUUUUAAAGGUAAACAGACCAGAUCUUCCUUCAAACUAAAGAAGCAGGUGAGAACUUCCAGGCCACUUGAGAAGCUGCACAUGGAUUUAUGUUGACCUAUUAAAGUCUAAAAUAGAGGAGGAGAGAAACAUAUGUUUGUUAUUGUAGAUGACUACUCCAGGUUCACCUGGACAAUAUUUAUAAGAACCAAGGAUGAAACAUGUGAGGUUCUAGUAGCUUGUUCCAAGCAAAUUAAAAUAAAGCUAAAUUGCAAAAUUGCUUAAUUCAGAUCUGAUCAUGGAACUAAAUUUGAGAACUCUCAAGUUGCAAAAUUUUGUGCUGAGCAUAGAAUAAGUCACAACUUUUCUGCUUCUAAAACUUCAUAGAAAAAUGGAGUUGUCUAAAGGAAAAAUAGAACACUCAUAGAGAUUGCUAGAACCACGUUGAUUAAUAGUGGUCUUCAAAAGAGUUUCUGGGUUGAAGCAGUAAAUACUACUUAUGAUGUGACUAAUAGGUGCUUGAUUAGAUCACUUGUGACUAAUACUCCAUAUGAGCUAGUAUUCAAUAGAAAUCCUAAGCUAGACUACUUCAGACCAAUUGGGUGCAAGUGUUUUGUGCUGAACAAUAGCAACAAAGAAUUGGGAAAAUUUGACUCCAAAAGUAAUGAAGUAGUGUUUGUAGGCUAUUCAUCAACAAGAAAGGAUUACAAAGUUUUAAUAAAAGAACUCUGUGUAUUGAAGAAAGUGUUCAUGUGAUCUUUGACGAGUCAAGAAAUAAAAUAAACUUAGGUGAUGGUGAAAGUUCAGAAGCUGGAAAACUUAUUCCUAUUCAAAGGGAUGAUAUUUUUUAAGAUGAUAAUCUAGGGAUAAAUUAUGUUGAUGAGAAUGAUAAAAGUGAUAGUGAUUCUGGAUCUCAGUCACAUAUCCUAGCUCCAGUAGAAGAACAAUCAGAAGAAACUAGUCAGAAUUCAUAGGGACCUGGUCCCAGUGGAAUCAAUCUCAAAAGGCAAAACUGGAGACAUAAAUUCUUUCAUCCCUUUGAGAAUAUGACUAUACCUUUGGAAAUAUGAGUCCAAACUAGAGCUCAAGAAAGAAAUAUUAUGGCAUUUUCAGCCUUUUAUCACAAGUUGAGCCUAAGAAUGUGAAAGAAUCUUUGAAAGAUGCUGAUUGGAUCAAUGCAAUGCAAGAAGAAUUUCAGCAAUUUGAAAGAAGCAAAGUCUGGCAUCUGGUUCUCAGGCUUGUUAACAGAACAAUUAUACCAAAUGGGUGUACAAAAAUAAGCAAGAUGAGAAUGGAACUAGUAACAAAAACAAAGCAAUUCGGGUUGUUCAAGGUUAUAACUAGGAAAAAAGGAUUAACUAUGAUGAGACUUUUGCCAUUGUAGCAAGAAUAGAGGCAAUCAGAAUUACUGCUGCAUUUGUUGCAUAUAUGGGAUUCAAACUAUUUCAAAUGGAUGGCAAAAGAGCCUUUCUGAAUAGAAAUCUUAAGGAAGAAGUCUAUGUCAAACAACCACCAAGUUUUGAAGAUAUAAAUUUUCCUCAUCAUGUGCUUAAAUUGGACAAAGCUUUUUAUGGUUUGAAGCAAGCACCAAGGGACUGGUAUGAAAGACUCUCAAAGUUUCUCUUGUAAAAUGACUUCAAAAGAGGGAAAAUAGAUAAUACUCUAUUUUUAAAGACUAAAGGUGGCAGCUAACUAAUUGUUCAAAUAUAUGUUAUGAGUUCGAGGCAAACCCAUCACGAAGUCCAUAUUUACAACUUCCCACUUCCAGGUAGGAAUACUGAACUCCUGCAUGGACCAACUAGGCUUCUGAUGCUCUAUCUUAACCUUCUGACAUGUAGAGCACUUAGCCAUAAAUUUUGCAAUAUCUUUUUUCAUCCCGCUCCACCAAUAGAUCUCCCGCAAGUCAUGGUACAUCUUUAUGGACCCUAAAUGAAUAGAGUAGUGAACACCAUGCGCUUCUGUAAGAAUUCACUGCCUUAUAUUAUCUACGUCUGAAACACAAAGACGACCCUGACAAUGAAGAACAGCACCUCCCCAUUAGGAGAAAACCUCUAUUUUCUGGUCCUAAACUGACUCUUUUAACUUGAUAAGACUGGGAUCCCUAUCUUGCUUUUCUUUCACCUCAGAAACUAGAGAUAAUUCUAAACUACUCUGAACACAUAUACCACCCUCUGAAGAAUCGACUAAGAGAACACCUGGUCUAGCAAGUUGGUGUACUUCUUGAGCUAACUUCUUCUUACCAUCCUCAACAUGAGAAAAACUACCCAUAGAGAGUCUACUGAGAGCGUCAGCCACUACAUUGGCCUUGCUCGGAUGAUAGAGGACACUCAUGUCAUAAUAUUUCAAGAGCUCUAACCACCUUCUCUGACAAAGAUUGAGAUCUUUCUGAGAAAAGACAUACUGAAGGCUCUUAUGAUCUGUGAAGACUUCUACAUGAACACCAUAUAAAUAAUGCCUCCAAAUCUUUAAGGCAAUUACUACGGCUGCUAAUUUAAGAUCAUGAGUAGGAUAAUUCUUCUCAUGGGGUUUAAGAUAUAUGGAGGCAUAGGCUAUGACCUUACCAUGCUACAUGAGGACACAACUUAAACCAACUCUAGAUGCAUCACAAUACUCUACGAAAUUGUCUGAACUAUCUGAAAGAGCUAAGACUGAAGAUGAGGUGAGUCGAGUCUUUAAUUCCUGAAAACUCUUCUCACAAGGAUCUAACCACUGGAACUUAACUUUCUACUGAUUCAAUGUGGACAUAGGGUAUACAAUGGAUGAAAAUCCUUUAACAAACCGUCUAUAAUAUCCAGCCAAAUCCAAGAAACUCCUGAAAUCUGAUGGACAAAUAGGGAGAGGCCAGCUUCUUACCACUUUAGUCUUUUGAGGAUCUAUACUAGCGCCAUCAUCGGAAACGAUAUGACCAAGGAAUGCUACUGACCUUAGAUAAAAGUUGAACUUACUAAAUUUGGUGAAUAACUGAUGAUUUUUGAGAGUCUAAAGUGCUAUUUUGAGAUGGUCUGCAUGAUCUUGCUCAAUGCGGGAAUAGACCAGAAUAUCAUCUAUGAAGACUAUGACAAAUAUAUCCAAGUACGGAUUGAACACACGGUUCAUAAAGUCCAUGAAAGUGGCUGGGGCAUUGGUCAGACCAAAUGAUAUGACUUGAAAUUCAAAGUGACCAUACCGCGUAUGAAAAGCUAUCUUCAAGAUGUCACAUUCUCUAACUCUAAGCUGAUGAUAUCCGGAUCUGAGGUCUAUCUUAGAGAAAUAACUGGCACCCUAAAGUUGGUCAAACAAGUCAUCAAUUCUAGGAAGAGGAUACUUGUUAUUGAUCGUGACUUUAUUGAGUUGACAGUAAUCUAUACACAUUCUGAGUGAACUAUCUUUCUUGCGCACGAAUAAGACUGGUGCGCCCUAUGGGGAAAUAUUGGGUCUGAUGAAUCCCUUAUCUAAGAGAUCUUUUAACUAAUCUUUUAGUUAUUUGAGUUCUGUUGGUGCCAUUCUGUAUGGAAGAAUAGAGAUAGGUUGAGUGUCCGAAAGAAGAUCAAUACCAAAGUCUAUUUCCCUUUCAGGAGGAAUUCCUGGAAGAUCUUUGGGAAAGACAUUUGAAUAUUCAUUCACUACUGGGAUAGAUUCGAGACUGGGAGCCUCGGAACUAGAAUCUCUAACAUGAACUAGAUGAUAAAUACAUCCCUUAGAUAUUAUUUUCCUUGGUCGAAGGUAGGAAAUAUGUUGACCUCUGAACACUGAAGUACUACCCCUCCACUCAAGGAUGGGUUCAUUUGGGAACUAAAACCAAACUAUUCUAUUUAUACAUUCGACUGUGGCAUAGAAGGAACGAAGCCAAUCCAUGCUAAGAAUGACAUCAAAAUCAGUCAUCUCUAAUUUGACUAAGUCUGCUGAAGUGACUAUCUAAAAUAUCAUAACCGAGCAGUUCCUGUAUACCGCUAGGCUAUGAUGGUUUUACCCAUUAGGGUAGAGACUGAAAAGAGAUCUGUUAGAAUUUUGGGACUGAUUUCAAAAUCAACUGCUAUAUAAGGAGUAACAAAAGACAAGGAAGCUCCUAUAUCUAUCAAAGCAUAAACAUGCACAUGAAAGAUCUGUAACAUACCAGUAACUACAUCAAGAGAACUUUCCUAAUCUUAUCGAGUAUAAAGAGCAUAAAGAUAAUUUGGGCGUUGCCUACUAGUAGCACUAAAAGUGGCACUCUGCUAAUUUGGGCGACCGAACUAAGCUGAAGAGCUAUUCUAUUGAACCUGAGGACCUGGCUAUGGAAAGUCUCUAACUCUAUGGCAUGGCUUGCCACAACCAAAUCAAAUGCCACUACCUGCUCUACACACACCCUGAUGGUGCUUACCACAAGCCCAACAAAGAGAAUAGGAGUGGGCACUACUAACACUGCCCUAGGUCUUAGAGCCUGGCGCUCUAUCUUUGUUACCCUCUCUAAACUUAGGAACUGGAGCACUGGCUGUAGAGAGAGAUAGAACUGAUGACUUAGGACAAGACAGAGAAUAGUUUUCUCUUUCUGAUUUAGGCUGACUAAAAUUGAAGCUACCUGUCCUAGCUUUCUUAUUCUGUUUUCCUCUCUGCUUAAUUUUUUGCUCUUCUAUCUGAUGAGCAUGGGUCAUAAGUCUAGCUAAGGUCAUGUCACUAAUAAGCAUGGAGGAUCUGCACUCAUUAACCACACUGUCAUUCACCCCUGAAGCGAACUUACUCAUCUUUGAUCUACUAUCUCCAACCACUUGAGGGGCAUACCUGGCUAAUUGAGUAAACUUAAAAGAAUACUCUUUUACUGUCAUAUUGCCCUGCCUUAGGUUGAUGAACUCUAGCACCUUGGCUUCUCUAAGCUCUUGGGGAAAGAAUCUAAGAAAGCAGUGACAAACUCCUCCUACUCUACAGGACCUGCAUCAUCUGAUCUUUUGGACUUCCACUGUUUGAACCUAGCAUGAGCCACAUCCUGCAACUGGUAUGCAGCUAGUUCAGCACUCUUAAUAGUAGUCAUCCCCAUGGCAUCUAUCUCUUUUUAAACUUGAUCUAAGAAUUUCUAAGGGUCUUCAUCUAACUUAGACCCAAGAAAGGUUGGACAAUUUAUUCGGGUGAAGUCCUAAAUUCUAGCUGCGGCUGAGUUGGCCACUGGGUUGGCCGGGAUAAAUGUUGAUUAUUCAUUAUGAGCAGCGAAUGAUUGAUCAAGAUUGGUAAAUGUGGUCCUGAACUCCGCAUGAGAAACAUGAUUUCCCACUCUUGCUCAAUCAGGACCGCAUUUACCACUUCUUUGGGCUGAGGGGCUGACUGAUUUCUUCUCUUAGGAGGCAUGUUCUGAAAUAUAUAGAAGAAGCGGAUUAGACUGAGAGACUGACUUGUGAUUAUGAUCACUGGCAAGACAUGAAUAUUGAAAGAGGGGAAACUAUUCUUAAAACAUCUCAUAGCCUCUUGCACAUAAAUGUGGCAUGCAACACACCCAUGUACAAGACUCUACUAGAUGCGGCUUUCAGACUUCCUAGGACUCUAUUGAACCUUAGGCUCUGAUAUCAAGUUUGUAACAACCCGAUUUUCUGAAACAAAAUGCUACACGGUGCUUAUGACCCCGAGGGACCACAAGCUAACCCAUGACUAAUAUCUCUACCUGUAUACUGCAUAAGAUAACUUAAUAAUGUGAAAACAUGCACUAAAAGGCCAUAAGGUUCGAUCAUGAACAUGAUUGAAUGAUAUAACAUUUGUAUGGGGUAAUAGAAUACCUAAAACAAAAUUGAAAAUACUGAAGUCUGAACAUGAUAGUCUGUAUCUAGUCUGCAUCUAGUCUAAAAGCCUCUAUUUUUUGAAAAAUUUGAAUAAGGAAUUGAUGGGACAUGUCCCCAACUAACUUUAACUAAUAAGCUAAUAAAUGAGAUACUAGAAAAUCAUUAUGUCCUCAAAGGAUGAGGAUUCACUUCUACUCUGACUGUUGAAUCUAGAAUCUACUGCUAAUCUAAAACUCGUGUCUCUGAACCUAUGGUGUAACAUAAAAAAAAAAAAGCACCAUAGCACGAAUGUGUCAGUACAUAUUUACCAAGUAUACAUAUCAGUUAGGCUAUAUACAAUGGUUCACAUGUAUGAAUAAUACUAAUUGACUGUCUACCAUGAAUGUGAGAAUACAUGCAUAAAUACAUAACUAUAACUGACAAUGUGAUUUCUUGAUUUCUGAGUCUGUAUACUGAUAACAUGACAUGCUAGUAACUGAUAUGACUGAUAACAUGAAGGACUAUAUCUAAAUAAAGUUGAUAGUAUGGGAGACUAUAUCUUAGUAUAACUGAUAACGUGCGUAACUGUAGCUGACAGUCCUGAAUCUAGUGGAACUAUCUGAGUUCUGUACUAUACCUGAGUGGACUAUAUCUGAUAGUCCUAAAAUUUGAAGAACUAUUUGAGUUUUAUUACUGAGACUAAUUAACUAUAGCUGAUAGUCCUAAUUCUGUAACAUGAAACUAUGGGAAGUAGUAUCUAACUGACAUGCUCCAAAGGUACUAUAAAGCUGAGCUGGGGUCCAAUCUAUGCCCUGAUUGGAAGGGUCUCAAUACCGCACCACUAGUAAGGACAACAUGAGUAACCCUUAUAUAAUAGGUAACUCUAGCAAGAACGGUAGGAACCCUCACAAAAUAGGUUAAGCCACCUUAUCUACCCUCAUAUAGCAGGAUACGAUGUCUCAACCUAUGCUGGCGACAUAGUUCUGGAAUGCAAGGAAUGCUUCUAUGAAUCACACUCUCGUAAAACAGGUAAGUCCCUAUCCUUGGGUUCACUCGGUGCUAAUUCCUACUCCCAUUAGUCACCGUCUGGGCUAGCACCUGGAAAGCUGCUCAAAACUCUAUAUGUUACACACUCUUAUUUUCAGGAUCUACUGGCUGAGAGGGUUGAUCAUCAACCCUAUGGACAAAGUCUCUGUGAGGAGACAUACUCUAUAAAUGAAAGAAUGAACUGGAUUAAACUGAGGAUCAACAUGAGCUCAUGGUCACUUACACGAAAUAAUCACUGAAAGAAGAGUAACUUCUCCUAAGAACAUCCUGUAGCCACUUGUACAUAAAUGUAGCGCGUUACACACCCUUGUACAAGACUCUACUAGAUGCGGCUUUUUAGACUCCCUAGGAUACUCUUGAACCUUAGGCUCUAAUACCAAGUUUGUAACACCCUGAGAUCCCAUCCCAUAAUGUCACACGAUACUUAUGGACCCGUAGGACCACAAGCUAACCCUUUUCUGAUAUCUGUACCUGUACACUGCAUAAUAUCUUAAAUAAAGGCAGAAACUUGCUAUAAGGUUCAACACAUCUAUACAUACUCAAACCUAAAAAUUAAAUACUAAUACAUCCAUCUGAAAAGCCUCUGAACUGCCUGAACUAUGGAGUUGAUGGGACAGGUCCCCAACUAACUCCGUCAACUGAAAAUAAACAAAAUCUGAAACAAUAAUAGUAAACUGAGAUUCAUCCUCGAAAGAAAAGGACUCACUACUACUGCUGCUGAUGGGGACUGAACUGCUGAGGAUAAUCUGGAUCCUGUGUCUCUGAACCUAUGGUGUCAAAUAAAACACCAUAGCGUAAAUGCGUCAGUACAGAAAUGUACCGAGUAUGUAGAUGAAGUAGGCUAAUGCAAGGGCUCAUGGAUGCCCAAUAUCUAAACUGAAUAAUCAUUAAAGAUGCCACAUGAGAACACACACAUGAAUACACAGAACAUUAAAACAAUCAUCGCAACUCUAGAAAAUGAAACUCGCAUACCACUUUACUACAGACUAAAAUUACUACUGACACUGAAAUACUUAAUCACUGACUUCUCUGAUACUGAUAACUGAGGAUCUGGAUGUGCUUAGAUCAAGGACUGUACUCUAAGCUUACUGCUUUCGACUGAAAUAAUUAGAGAUCAACUUUGCUAACAGAUUAUUCUGGAAGCGAUUAUUAAUGAUAAAAAGUAUGAUUAUAUCUAAUCUGACAACAAGAAUAUUUAAUAGAAAUCAGAUACUGUGAUCAAGCCUGUCUGGUGAUAUAUCUCUAAAUAUAAUAUCAAUCAACUGUAUAUGUGACCAAGUCUAUCUAUCAGGAUGGUCCAUGAAUCAAUGGAACUAUUUGAGUUCCUCAUAAAGAUAGAUGAUUCUAUCUGAUAGUCCUAAUUUCUGAAGAUUGAUUCUAAAUCUGAAACUGAAACUGUGGGAAGUAGUUACUUAACCGACAUUCCCCAACCUACCAUAGGUGGGGUCUAACCUCUACCCUCGAUUGGAAGGGUGCCAAUACCAUGCCACGGGUAAAGACAUUAUCUUUAUGUGCAUUAUCUUUAUGUGACCCUCAUCUAUCAGGUGCUCAAACAAGAAUGGUGGAGCCCUCAUCCAACAGGUCAAGCCACCUCAUCGACCCUCAUCUAAUAGGUAUGAUGUCUCUCAUAUACCCUCAACUAGUAGGUAUGAUGUCUCAACCUACGUUGUCUACAUAGUUCUAGGGCACAAAGAUUGCAUCUUAGAAUCACACCCUCUACUAAUAGGUGAGUUCCCAUCCUUCAUCUCACUCGGUGCUAGUUUCUACUCCCAACUGAAAGACUCUGAUUGAAUUCUUAACUGAGCACAACUGAACUAAAUCUGAUACUGAUUAUAUUUCUCAAAAGAUCUAACUGAGUUACGCUAAGAUUACUUAGUUUCGUAUCUGACGAAAAAGACAUCGAAUCAUAGUAUCUGACUGACGGUAUAGAGCUUGAAUAGAUUACUCAAAUCACUUCUGCGAUUAGAAUUGAAUCGCUUGAAUACUAUUAGAUCUAAGCUAAUUAUGGGACUAAGGCUAGAUUACUAGCGAUACAGAGAUUACAGAGAUUUCUGAGAUUACUGAACUUUCUUAAGUUCCGCACUUGUCUGAGGAUACAAAGUUCUAUAGUUCACUGAGUUCUGAGAAUCAUGGCUCAACUUGAAUUAUCGAGAAACUGACACGAGUUCUAGACAAUAGCUCUAUUUUUGGGUAUAAAUACCCCCAGGACUCGAUAGCAUAAAAGUAAGCAUCAUUAUUCAUUCAUCAUCACAAGCAUUCAUGCAUCAUCACAAUCAUUCAACCAUCUUCACAAGUAAUUCAGGAAUCAUGCCAUAUGUUCAUUUCCACAGUCAUUAAACAUCACCUCAAGCAUUUAAGGAUCUCAAAUGUCUAUUCAUUAUCACAGUCGCUAAGGAGUCACUUUAAGCAUCUCGAAAUCAUAAUCAUAUAAUAACAUAGGGGAAAUAUGCUACUAUAUUGUACUCCCUUCAACAAGGUUUUACCUCAGCUAUUUCAUACCUAUAUCGAUCUUGACAUGUGUUUAGAUAUCCCAUGGCUUGGGGAGACUUCAUACUAUCAAGCCAUAACUUACUUGCUAACCAAUUGGCAUGUAUUAAAAGCUUAACAUAUAUCAAGAACACAUAAUUAGGAGAAUUUACAACCAUCAUAUCUCAAAUUGUUCACUAGGGCCUUUCAACAACCACUAGACAUGACCGAUUUUACACUUACUUGGGAAUAUCAUGCUAUCUUAGCACAUUUCACUCACUAAGGCAUUUUAUGAAACACUAGGCAUGCAUGGACUAGCUCACAAUUUGGGAUUUUCUAUUCAACAUACUAUAGUGGACCUUAUGCUUCACCUAAUAUCUUUAUCAAACCUAUGGGGAACGUUAUUCACUUAUUCAACCAUUUCUACACCUAAAAGUCAUGAACACAUCACAUGAAAAAACAACUUCAAGAGGGUCUAUCACAAACAUCACAUUAAUUUCACAUACUAGGGUCAAAGCUCAUAAAUUUUGUAGGCAAACAUAAAUCAAAACUUAACAACACAUUAAACAUCUAUUUCAACUCAUACAAAUCAUUAACAACUCAUAAACAUAAAAAUCUUUUAGUUUUAAAAAGGGAUUUUGAGCUUCUUGGAUGAAAGGGACCCAAGAAUCAACAUCUACAUACCUUAACCUUUGAAAUUGGAUGAACUUUAGUGCUUGAAACUUUAUCCACACUUAAAAUAAAUAAAUUCUUGAAGCCUACACUAUGAGGAACUUGAUUCUUGAAGAAACCUUGAAGAAUUUACGGAUGAAUUUUUGAAGAUUAGGGUUCUUGCAUAAAACCCUAGAUAUUCUUGAGAGAAUUGCAAAAGAAAAUAAUUGAAUUAGGGUUUGAAUGAGGGUUCCUCAUAUUUAUAGAGGCUCAAAAAAUAUGGAAAAUGACCAAAAUAUCCUUGGAAAAAUUCCCUUGAAUUGCCGAAAAAAUAUACUUGACGCCAUCCGUGGUAGGCCGUCAGGUCCGUGAUAGGCCGUCACGAAUGGUCAUCACAAAAGGGGUCCAAAUUCUUGAUUUUCUGCCCAGGGCUGACGACAUCACUAGAAUGUGACGACAUCGUCAAAAAGGUCGUCAAAAACGUGAUAGCCCGUCAGAAACGUCAUCACUUUUUUCCAGCUUGACAUUCUAGAAUAAAAUGCGGAGAACUCUUUGCUCUGAUAUCGGAUUUAGGCGAAAUUGGUAUCCUUGGAAAUCUAAUUCAAAGAUCUUUCAUUUGAUAUAUAGAAAUCCACCCAGUUCUUCAUAUACAUUAAUUUAUGGUCGAUUGAAGUUGACCCAAAUUUUUAUAGUCACUAAAACUUGAAUGAUAGGAAAGCCUUCAACUCGACCUUGAGUUAGGGGACCUCUAUGAUCUUAAUCCAUGCUCUAAUAGAUUCCCAUACGAUUCAAAGUAUUUCAUACUUGGGAGGAUAUUUUUGAAACAUUUUGACUCGAAUUUUUGCUUUACCAAAUAUGCUCUAAGGCUCAGACUGGAAGUGGAUUUUGCGGGGCAUUACAUAUCUCCCCCUUGAGAACAUUUGUCCUCGAAUGUCGCUUAAUAGACUGAAAUUAUAGAUAAAUAGAAAUUACUCAAGAAAUGGAAACAUCUCAGAUCAGGACUACACUACUGGAAUGACUGGCAUAUAGAGUUCUCACACUGGGCAUGCAUAUAUGAUGCAUGGAAUACUCUACUGAUGAUACUCAUAGCUGAAUUCUCAUAAUACACAUGCAUAUCUGAUGCAUAGACUCAUAACUAGGAUGAUCUCAUGAAUACACGACUGAACACACGUUGACAAGCUAAACUCUUUCUACUAAAUGCACAUAUCUAAUGCAUGAAUGUCCGGCUAAGUUGACUUUUGAAAGCAGGACUUGACAAUGCAACAAUGAUUGAUGCUAACUUUAUAAGAAAAAUCUGAACAUACAUCGAGCUGAAUCUAAUGGCAUGAAACAUCAUAAUACCAUGGGGUAUCUCCCCCUUGGGACUCUAUGUCCCUCUAAACACACUUCAGUAAAAUAGUAGAGCGGUGCACGGGGCACCUCCAGACUGGGUCAUAAUUGACCGAUCAAGAUCUAAAACUUAUACAUGACUCAUGCUAACAUAAAAGCUCAAAAUAAGAGCAAAGGAUCUAUUAAUGCAUAACAUAAUAAUGAAGGGCUCAUAACAUACCCGGGUUAAUUUUAUGGGAUCUUUCCGAACAAAGGCGAUCCUGAAGUGCAUACAAUCUAUUAUGAGCUGAAGGAUGACUAUGCUGACUUUGGGGACCUGGCUUAGACAGUCUCAAACUUUGUGACCGGUCUCUCCACAUUUAAAGAACACAUCACUACCGGCUAUACAUACACCCUUAUGAUUCUUACCACAUUCUUCACAUAACGGGUAGGUACGAACACCACUAGUACUACUCUGGGCUUUAGAUCUUGGUGCUUUCUCAAAUCUGACACCCCCAAAUGCAGGUGCGAGUACACUAGCUGAAGAUGGAGAUGGAACUAAAAAUCUCUGACCAUACUGAGAACUAAUACCACCUUGAGACCCUGACUAUGAGAAACCAUGACUAUCUAUCUUAGCUCUCUUACUCACUCUCCCUCUCUCCUUCAUCUUAUCUGCCUCAAUCUGUUGCUCAUGAAUCAUUAGCCUAGAAAGAUCCAUAUCACUAUUGAUCAUGGCAGCUCUACACUCUUUUAACACAUCACUUGAUACCCCAAUCAAAAACUUACUCAUACUUGCUCUAGGGUCAGCUAUCAAGUCAGGAGCAUACUUAGCUAAUUGGUUAAACUUAAGACAAUAUUCUUUCACUAUCAUGGAGCCUUGCCUUAGGUUCAUAAACUCUUCUACCUUAGCUUCUCUUAUUUAUAGUGGGAAAAACCUAUCUAGAAAGGUACUCUAAAACUCUAGCCAAGUCACGGGAGCUGCAUUCUCCCCUCUACAUUUCUCCCACAUCACUACCCAAUGAGGAGCAGUAUCUUUAAACCUAUAAGAUUCUAACUCAACACUCUCCUCCUCUGACACAUGCAUAAUCUGGGUGAUCUUCUUCACCACCUCAAUAAACAACUGCGGAUCCUCACCUACUACUAACCCAAAGAAUUCGGGCGGGUUCAUUUUCAUAAAGCUUCUAAUCCUGUUUACGCCAAAAUUCCAAUCUUGCUAAGGUAGGACUGCAGCCUGAUAGUUGCCAUGAAUAUUAGUCACCGCCUGGGCUAGCUCCUGGAAAGCUGCUCAAAACUCUACAUGUAACACACUCUUAUUUUCAGGAUCUACUGGCUGAGGGGGCUGAUCAUCAACUCUAUGGACAAAGUCUCUGUGAGGAGGCAUACUCUGUAAAUGAAAGAAGGAAAAUAAUCACCUAAAGAAGAGGAACUGCUCCUAAGAACAUCUUGUAGCCUUUUGUACAUAAAUGUGGUGCACUAUACACCCAUGUACAAGACUCUACUAGAUGCGACUUUUCAGACUCCCUAGGAUACUCUUGAACCUUAGGCUCUGAUACCAAGUUUAUAACACCCCGAGAUCCCAUCUCGAGAUGUCAUACGGUGCUUAUGGACCUGAAGGACCAUAAGUUUACCCUUUUCGAAUAUCUGUACCUGUACACUACAUAAUAUCUAAAAUAAAUGUAGAAACUUGCCAUAAGGUUCAACACAUCUAUAUAUACUCAAAACUGAAUACUGAAUACUAAUACAUCCGUCUGAAAAGCCUCUAAAUUGUCUGAACUGUGGAGUUGAUGGGACGGGUCCCCAACUAACUCCAUCAACUGAAAAUAAACAAAAUCUAAAAUAAUAAUAGUAAACUGAGAUCCAUCCUCAAAAGAAGAGGACUCACUACUACUGCUACUGAUGGGGACUGAACUAUUGAGGAUAAUCUGGAUCCUAUGCCUCUGAACCUAUGGUGUCAAAUAAAACACCAUAGCGCAAAUGCGUUAGUACAGGAAUAUACCGAGUAUAUAGAUAAGGUAGGCUAAUGCAAGGGCUCAUGCAUGCAUAAUAUCUAAACUGAAUAAUCAUAAAAGAUGUCGCAUGAGAACACAUUCAUGAAUGCACAGAACAUGAACACAAUUAUCGGAACUCUAGAUACUGAAACUCGCAUACCACUUUACUACAGACUGAACUCAUUACUGAUAUUGAGAUACUGAAUCACUAACUCUUCUGAUACAGAUAACUGAAGAUCUGGAUGUGCUUACAUCAAGGACAAUACUUUAAUCUUACUGCUUUCGAUUGACAGAAUUAGAGAUCAACUUUGCUAACAGAUUAUUCUAGAAGUGAUUAUUAAUGAUAAAAAGUAUGAUUAUAUCUAAAUAUGACGACAAGAAUAUUUAAUAAAAAUUUGAUACUGUGAUCAAGCCUGUCUUGAAGCAUAUCUCUGAAUAUGAUAUUAAUCAACUGUAUAUAUGACCAAUCCUAUCUGUCGAAAUGGUCCAUAAAUCAACAGAACUAUCUGAGUUCCUCAUAAAGAUAGAUGAUUGUAUCUGAUAGUCCUAAUUUCUGAUGAUUGAUUCUUAAAUUAAGACUGAAUCUGAAACUAAAACUGUGGGAAGUUGUCACUUAACUGACAUACCCCAACCUACUACAGGUGGGCUCCAACCUCUACUCCCGAUUGGGAGGAUGCCAAUACUGUGCCAUAGGUAAAGACAUUAUCUUUAUUUGCAUUAUCUUUAUCUGACCCUCAUCUAUCAGGUGCUCAAACGAGAAUAGUGGAGCCCUAAUCUAACAGGUCAAGCCACAUCAUCUACCCUCAUCUAACAGGUAUGAUGUCUCUCAUCUACCC
Molecule: long non-coding RNA, 29178 nt
Filed under: Capsicum annuum
Lineage: Eukaryota; Viridiplantae; Streptophyta; Magnoliopsida; Solanales; Solanaceae
Description: long non-coding RNA (CANN_LNC015621)
Source: RNAcentral